This 253-nucleotide ribosomal RNA is filed under the name uncultured bacterium. Its description in RNAcentral is "partial 16S ribosomal RNA". It matches the Rfam family "Bacterial small subunit ribosomal RNA", at positions 524 to 776 of the family's 1533-position model. The record is from RNAcentral.
GACGAACCGUGCGAACGUUAUUCGGAAUCACUGGGCUUAAAGGGCGCGUAGGCGGGUUCUCAAGUCAGGGGUGAAAUCCCGCGGCUCAACCGUGGAAGUGCCUUUGAUACUGGGGACCUCGAGGGAGGUAGGGGCGUGCGGAACUUCCGGUGGAGCGGUGAAAUGCGUUGAGAUCGGAAGGAACGCCCGUGGCGAAAGCGAGGUCCUGGACUCUGACUGACGUUGAGGCGCGAAAGCCAGGGGAGCGAACGGG